UGGGGAAUAUUGGACAAUGGGCGCAAGCCUGAUCCAGCCAUGCCGCGUGAGUGAUGUAGGCCCUAGGGUUGUAAAGCUCUUUCACCGGUGAAGAUAAUGACGGUAACCGGAGAAGAAGCCCCGGCUAACUUCGUGCCAGCAGCCGCGGUAAUACGAAGGGGGCUAGCGUUGUUCGGAUUUACUGGGCGUAAAGCGCACGUAGGCGGACUUUUAAGUCAGGGGUGAAAUCCCGGGGCUCAACCCCGGAACUGCCUUUGAUACUGGAAGUCUUGAGUAUGGUAGAGGUGAGUGGAAUUCCGAGUGUAGAGGUGAAAUUCGUAGAUAUUCGGAGGAACACCAGUGGCGAAGGCGGCUCACUGGACCAUUACUGACGCUGAGGUGCGAAAGCGUGGGGAGCAAACAGG
RNAcentral lists this ribosomal RNA (404 nucleotides) under Actinomycetes bacterium. Its description in RNAcentral is "Actinobacteria bacterium partial 16S ribosomal RNA". It matches the Rfam family "Bacterial small subunit ribosomal RNA", at positions 355 to 776 of the family's 1533-position model. The record is from RNAcentral. Lineage: Bacteria; Bacillati; Actinomycetota; Actinomycetes. RNAcentral also lists the same sequence under 1 other name.